This 497-nucleotide ribosomal RNA is filed under the name uncultured bacterium. Its description in RNAcentral is "partial 16S ribosomal RNA". It matches the Rfam family "Bacterial small subunit ribosomal RNA", at positions 28 to 507 of the family's 1533-position model. The record is from RNAcentral.
GAUGAACGCUGGCGGCGUGCCUAAUACAUGCAAGUCGAGCGAACAGACGAGGAGCUUGCUCCUUUGACGUUAGCGGCGGACGGGUGAGUAACACGUAGGUAACCUACCUAUAAGACUGGGAUAACUUCGGGAAACCGGAGCUAAUACCGGAUAAUAUUUCGAACCGCAUGGUUCGAUAGUGAAAGAUGGCUUUGCUAUCACUUAUAGAUGGACCUGCGCCGUAUUAGCUAGUUGGUAAGGUAACGGCUUACCAAGGCAACGAUACGUAGCCGACCUGAGAGGGUGAUCGGCCACACUGGAACUGAGACACGGUCCAGACUCCUACGGGAGGCAGCAGUAGGGAAUCUUCCGCAAUGGGCGAAAGCCUGACGGAGCAACGCCGCGUGAGUGAUGAAGGUCUUCGGAUCGUAAAACUCUGUUAUUAGGGAAGAACAAACGUGUAAGUAACUGUGCACGUCUUAACGGUACCUAAUCAGAAAGCCACGGCUAACUACGUG